GUUGAGAUAUAAAUCAUUUAUAUCACAUGUUAGUUAACACGGUUAGUGUGUCAGAGUUAGUUAGGAAGGUUGUUAGUUAGUUCAUAGCUUAAAGUGUGUGUAUAUAAUGAUCAAUUGUAAUGUUCAGUUCUCUCAAUUUUUCAUAUUCAAUGAAAUAUAAUUUUCAUGCAACUCUUCUAGAUUCUUCUUCUCUCUUCUCCUUCUUCUUCUUCUUCUUCUUCUUCUUCUUCUUCUUCUUCUUCUUCUUCUUCUUCUUCUUCUUCUUCUUCUUCUUCUUCUUCUUCUUCUUCUUCUUCUUCUUCUUCUUCUUCUUCUUCUUCUUCUUCUUCUUCUUCCACAGUUAGUUAGUUAGAGAAUUUGUUAGUUAGUUACUAGUUUAAAGUGUGUAUAUAAUGAUCAAUUGUAGUGUUCAGUUUUCUUAAUUCACAUUCAAUGAAAUAUAAUUUUCCUCUUCUAGAUUCUUCUUCUCUCAUGUGAGUUCAAGCUCCAUCAAUGGAGGAGCUUGAUUGAUCAGUAACAAGCUGUGCUGAUUUUAUCAUGGUAUCAGAGCGAUGGACAUAGAUCCUGCUCCUUUUUCCGCAUCCACAUCUGUGAUUCUUAUUUUCUCUUUCGAAGAGGUUGCACUGUGAAUAUUGAUGUCGAGUUCAUGCUUUGAAUUUUGAGUUCCUCUUCCUGUUCUCGAUUCUGUUUUCAAAGUUUUUCGUUCUCAAAAAAUUUUUUGAGUUUCAAUUUUGAGUUUCUGUUGUUACUCAAAUUGUAUCGCGAUCUGAUUUCACCAUGGAUGACAAUCAAGUUGAUCCAAUUUCGACUGGUUCUACAUCCACUGCUAGGAUGGAUUUUACCAGUCCCUUCUAUCUGCAUCCUUCCGAGAAUGCAGGUUCAUCUCUAUUGCCUGGAGUUUUUGAUGGCACUGGUUAUAGAUCAUGGAGGAGAGCUGUUCUUAGAGCCUUGUCUGUUAAGAGUAAAACAGGUUUUAUCAAUGGCAAAGUAGUAAAGCCAAAUCUAGAUGAUCCUAGUUUCCAACAGUGGGAAAGGUGUGAUGACAUGGUAACCUCUUGGAUUCUGAACUCCUUAUCACCUGAUCUAAGAGAUAGUCUGCAGUAUGUUAACAAUGCCCAUGAAUUAUGGGCUGAAUUGGAGGAAAGAUAUGACCAGACCAAUGGUUGUAAAUUGUAUCAGUUUCAGAAAGAAAUCAAUGAUCUUGUUCAAGGCACUUUGGAUGUCACUGGGUAUUACACGAAGAUGAAAAAGCUCUGGGAAGAAAUGAGCACAGUUGAUAUGAGCUCUCAGUGCAAUUGUGUGUGCACUUGUGGGGGUAAAGUCAAAUUGAUCAAGGCUGAGCAAGAUAGAAGACUCAUACACUUCCUAAUGGGGCUAAAUGAGAUGUAUACUGCCAUUAGAGGCAACAUUCUCAUGAUGAACCCUCUACCUAGCAUGGCUCAAGCUUUUGCCAUAUUGUCCCAAGAAGAAAAACAGAGAGAAGUGAAGCCUCACAACCACACUGCUUUAGAUUCCACUUCCCUAAAUGUUUUUGCUUCAACUCACAACAAUGCAGGAGUGAAAGGUCUCAGAACCAACUAUAGUUCCUCUAAGGGACAUACAGGCAACACUGGAAACCUGAAUAACACCAACAUGAUUAGAGGGAACUCUAGUACCAGCAGGUCUACUUUGUUUUGUGAUUUCUGCAGGAGAUCAGGUCACACUAGGGAAAGAUGUUAUAAGCUUCAUGGAUAUCCACCCAACUCCAAAUUUUCUAAAGGCAAAGGUUCAAAUUCUGCAAUGGCAAAUGUGUGCAGCAAUGAGAUUGAUGGAAUCCACUAUGAGGACAAUCCUGAGUUAAGGAAGCAAAUGCCAUUUAAUCUGUCCAAAGACCAGUAUGAACAACUAUUGAACCUUUUGGGAUCUUUACAAGCUGGACAUGAAGCUUCCAACUCAGACAAUAUGCUAAGUGGAGCUGUGAACUUGGCAGGUAUACUUGCUUGUUAUUCUUCCAUUACUGAGAUAGGUGACCUUUCUUAUAGAUGUACUAGAUUAACUGCUGGUUCUUGGAUCAUAGACUCAGGGGCAUCACAUCACAUGACAUAUAACAAAGCCAUUCUGACAAAUAUUAGAACCCUACCAUAUCCAUUUCUCAUCUCCUUACCUAAUGGUUACAAAGUUAAAGUGACUGAAAUUGGUGAUGUAUGUUUAAAUCAAGUCCUAACAUUGCAGAAAGUUCUAUUUGUACCUAGUUUCAAAUUCAAUCUCAUCUCAGUUCAUUGUCUAGCAUUACAACUUAAAGGUAUAGUCAGUUUUAAUAGUGUUUCUUGCUUGUUGCAGGGCCCUUCUCUGAAGAGCCCUCUGGAACUUGGUAGAGCACAAAAUGGCCUCUAUUUCUUGUGUACAAAAUGCCACAACUGUGUUUCUUCUCCUGAUGGCACCAAGGACCCUCAUGUCAUUUCAAGUCAUUUUACUCGUUUACCUAAAUGUACUAGUAGUCCAGUUCCAAACAUUCAUUACUCUACUGUAAAAGGUUUUUCUCCUAUCAAUAAAGAGGGUUGUUCUGUUUUUAAUUCUUCUUCCUACUCUACUGCAAAUUGUUCUUCUUUUGCUGUUAAUUCUGAUAGCACUUAUACUAAUGAUCUCUUGUGGCAUACUAGACUAGGCCAUGUACCUUUUGUGAAAAUGAAGGGCAUCUCCACUAUCCCUUGUCAUUUCUCUACCAAAUAACCUUUCACCUGCACCAUAUGUCCUAUGGCUAGGCAGACAAGAAUGCCAUUCCCAGAAAGCACGACCUCCACCACUAAGCCUUUUGAGUUACUUCACAUUGACCUAUGGGGGCCAUACCACAUUCCAACUCAUGAUGGUUUUCACUAUUUCCUAACCAUGGUAGAUGAUCACACUAGAUCAACCUGGACACAAUUGAUUAGGUGUAAGAGCAAUGCUUUGCAAACCAUUAAGGCUUUUGUUUCACUUGUUGAAAACCAAUUUCAGACUAAGCUGAAAACCAUCAGGUCUGAUAAUGGCCUAGAAUUUACCUCUAAUGAAGCCACCCAUUUUUUCCAAGAAAAAGGUAUAAUCCAUCAAAAAUCUUGUCCCUACACACCUCAACAAAAUGGUGUAGUUGAAAGGAAACACAAGUAUCUCCUUGAAAUUGCAAGGGCACUCCUAUUUCAGUCUAAAUUGCCCAUGAGAUAUUGGGGAGAAUGUGUUCUAACAGCCACAUACCUUGUUAACAGAUUACCUUCCAAGAUUCUACAGAACAAAUCCCCUUAUGAGAUGUUAUAUCAAACUCCUCCUACAUACUCUCACCUUAAAAGUUUUGGAUGCUUAUGUUUUCCCACUACCUUGAAAACCCACAAAGAUAAGUUUGAGCCAAGGGCAACACCACACAUCUUUGUUGGAUACCCCUUCAAUACAAAAGGUUAAAAGGUUUUGGACUUAGUUACCAAGAGAGUUCAUGUAUGCAGAGAUGUUUCUUUUCAUGAGUCUGUCUUCCCUUUUGUCAUUGCUCCUGAUAAUUCUAGUUUUGCAUCUGUAUUAAAGUGUCUUGUCCAUCAUCCCAAAACUCUAACUUACAUGCCUGGUACAACUAGCACUUUCUUUAAUGAUGACUUUCUAAAUAUUAACAUGCCAUAUGAAGUCACUACUACUGAAGUAACAGCAGCAGAUACAACAUCUAAUACAGUCCCUGAUAUCCAAACAUCUACUAAUAUAAAUGAACACACAACAAGCACUACCAUGCAAAACACACCAGUUUCACCACGUGGUGCCCCACCUACUCUUAGGAGAACCACCAGAUCACUUCAUACACCCAACUACCUCAAAGAAUUUAAAUACACUUUACCCAACUUGCAUUCCUCCACACCUGCACCUGAUCCUCACCUUUCUCUUACAUCAUUUCUAACCAACCAUGAUAGCAUUUGCUUUACCACUUUGUGUUCUGAUAGCCAGCAGUUAGUUGAAACCAUCUCUCAUGAUUGUGAGCCUUCUUCAUAUGAAGAAGCAAUCUUGCAUCCUGCCUGGCAAAUGGCUAUGACACAAGAAUUUGAAGCUCUAUAUGCUAAUAAUACUUGGGACUUAGUCCCUCUACCCAAGGAUAAGAAGGCCAUUGGUUGUAAGUGGGUGUACAAAAUCAAGCACAAGGCUGAUGGUAGUGUAGAAAGGUUUAAGGCAAGACUGGUAGUUAAGGGGUACACUCAACAGGCUGGUAUAGAUUACAAUGAAACUUUCUCUCCUGUAGUAAAGAUGACUACUGUUAGGAGUUUGAUUACACUGGCUGUUAAGAAAGGAUGGGGCUUGUAUCAGUUAGAUGUUAACAAUGCCUUCCUUCAUGGUGAUUUGACUGAGGAAGUAUACAUGACAUUACCACCAGGUCUUGCAGUGGACUGCCCAAACAUGGUGUGCAAAUUAAAGAAAUCCUUAUAUGGUUUAAAGCAGGCUAGUAGGCAAUGGUAUGAUAAGUUGUCCAGCAGUCUUUGUUCUAGGGGGUACAUACAUUCACAUAGUGAUUACUCACUGUUUCACAAAAAGAAGGGAAGUUCUUUGGUCUUUGUUGCUGUCUAUGUUGAUGAUGUGAUUCUGACUGGGACUGAUCUGGAGGAGAUCAACUCUCUAAAGUCUUUUCUGAAUGAUCAGUUUAAAAUAAAGGAUUUAGGUAGACUUCAUUAUUUCCUGGGCUUGGAGAUAUUAUACAGGCAUGAUGGGGUUCUCAUUUCUCAAAGAAAGUUCACUACUGAUCUCUUAAAGGAAUUUGAUUCCUUGCACUGCAAACCUGUUGCUUCACCACUUGACUAUACUGAAAAAUUGAAGGCCUCUGAUGGAAGGUUACUCUCUGAUCCUACUUAUUACAGGAAGUUAGUAGGCAAACUCAAUUUUCUAACACACACUAGGAUGGAUAUAGCUGAUAGUGUGCAGCACCUAAGCCAGUUCAUGCAAACACCUAGGGAACCACACUUAAAGGCAGCUUAUCAUGUCCUCAAAUACCUCAGACAAGAUCCUACAAUGGGAAUAUUCAUUUCAAACAAACCUGAUCUUACAGUGAAGGCAUAUUGUGACUCAGAUUGGGGUGCUUGCUCUGAUUCAAGGAAGUCAGUCAGUGGCUAUCUCGUCCUCAUGGGUGAUAGCCCUAUCAGCUGGAAGUCCAAGAAACAGGCCACAGUAUUUUUGUCCUCUGCAGAAGCAGAAUACAGAGCUAUGAGACAGGUAGUAGGGGAGCUGGUUUGGUUUGAAAGGCUGAUGACUGAGUUGUCUGUACAAUGCCUCUUGCCUAUACAAGUUUUCUGUGACAGUCAAGCUGCAGUCCACAUUGCCAAAAACCCAGUUUUCCAUGAAAGGACUAAACACAUAGAAAUAGACUGCCAUUUUGUUAGAGACAAACUUCACCAAGGCUUGAUCACUCUCCAUCACAUCUCUACUGAUUCACAACUGGCAGAUAUCCUCACAAAGGCUCUCACUGGAGUUAAACAUGCUACAUUAUUGAACAAGUUGUCUGUAAAUCCAAUUACCUCCAACUUGAGGGGGGGUGUUGAGAUAUAAAUCAUUUAUAUCACAUGUUAGUUAACACGGUUAGUGUGUCAGAGUUAGUUAGGAAGGUUGUUAGUUAGUUCAUAGCUUAAAGUGUGUGUAUAUAAUGAUCAAUUGUAAUGUUCAGUUCUCUCAAUUUUUCAUAUUCAAUGAAAUAUAAUUUUCAUGCAACUCUUCUAGAUUCUUCUUCUCUCUUCUCCUUCUUCUUCUUCUUCUUCUUCUCUCAUGUGAGUUCAAGCUCCAUCAAUGGAGGAGCUUGAUUGAUCAGUAACAAGCUGUGCUGAUU
This 5791-nucleotide long non-coding RNA is filed under the name Solanum tuberosum (potato). Its description in RNAcentral is "long non-coding RNA (STUB_LNC005480)". Lineage: Eukaryota; Viridiplantae; Streptophyta; Magnoliopsida; Solanales; Solanaceae. The record is from RNAcentral.